ACUGGGCAUGGUGACUUGUGCCUGUAGUCCCAGCUACUGGGGAGGCUGAGGUGGGAGGAUCACUUGAGCCCAGGAGUUUGAAGCUGCAGUGAGCUGUGAUUGCGCCACUGCACUCCAGCCUGGGCCACAUAGUGAGACCUUACCUCUU
This is an unclassified non-coding RNA of Macaca fascicularis (crab-eating macaque), 148 nucleotides long. It matches the Rfam family "Metazoan signal recognition particle RNA". Rfam says of the family: The signal recognition particle (SRP) is a universally conserved ribonucleoprotein. It is involved in the co-translational targeting of proteins to membranes. Lineage: Eukaryota; Metazoa; Chordata; Mammalia; Primates; Cercopithecidae. The record is from Ensembl.